UACGUAGGGAGCAAGCGUUGUCCGGAAUCAUUGGGCGUAAAGAGCGCGUAGGCGGUCCGAUAAGUCGGCUGUGAAAGUCCAGGGCUCAACCCUGGAAAGCCGGCCGAUACUGUCGGACUAGAGUCCGGAAGAGGCGAGUGGAAUUCCCGGUGUAGCGGUGAAAUGCGCAGAUAUCAGGAAGGACACCAAUGGCGAAGGCAGCUCUCUGGGACGGUACUGACGCUGAGACGCGAAAGCGUGGGGAGCGAACAGG
This 253-nucleotide ribosomal RNA is filed under the name uncultured bacterium. RNAcentral describes it as "partial 16S ribosomal RNA". It matches the Rfam family "Bacterial small subunit ribosomal RNA", at positions 524 to 776 of the family's 1533-position model. The record is from RNAcentral.